GAUGAACGCUGGCGGCGUGCUUAACACAUGCAAGUCGAACGGAAAGGCCCAAGCUUGCUUGGGUACUCGAGUGGCGAACGGGUGAGUAACACGUGGGUGAUCUGCCCUGCACUUCGGGAUAAGCCUGGGAAACUGGGUCUAAUACCGGAUAGGACGAUGGUUUGGAUGCCAUUGUGGAAAGUUUUUUCGGUGUGGGAUGAGCUCGCGGCCUGUCAGCUUGUUGGUGGGGUAAUGGCCUACCAAGGCGUCGACGGGUAGCCGGCCUGAGAGGGUGUACGGCCACAUUGGGACUGAGAUACGGCCCAGACUCCUACGGGAGGCAGCAGUGGGGAAUAUUGCACAAUGGGCGCAAGCCUGAUGCAGCGACGCCGCGUGGGGGAUGACGGCCUUCGGGUUGUAAACUCCUUUCGCUAGGGACGAAGCGUUUUUGUGACGGUACCUGGAGAAGAAGCACCGGCUAACUACGUG
RNAcentral lists this ribosomal RNA (468 nucleotides) under uncultured bacterium. RNAcentral's name for it is "partial 16S ribosomal RNA". It matches the Rfam family "Bacterial small subunit ribosomal RNA", at positions 28 to 507 of the family's 1533-position model. The record is from RNAcentral.